Molecule: long non-coding RNA, 1976 nt
Filed under: Citrus maxima (pomelo)
Lineage: Eukaryota; Viridiplantae; Streptophyta; Magnoliopsida; Sapindales; Rutaceae
Description: long non-coding RNA (CMAX_LNC000872)
Source: RNAcentral
AAGGAUUCUUCGUGCAGAUAUAUCCAAGGACAUAGAACAUCUUGUGGAUGUGAUCUCAUCUUGGAUGGCUUCAAAUAGAAGUACGAAACUUCUUAGGCCAUGAUGGGGUUAAUAUCACCAAGUGAUGGUAUACAGAAAAGUUACUAAGACUACAGCGACUAGUAUACGAAGACAGAAUUGCUAUGCAUACACUUUUCUAUGUAUAUUAUUUUGUGUCAUAUCAAUGAACUCUUAAUUGCACAAGCGAAACAAAUUAAACUCCAGCAGUUUGGAGUUAUUGUGGCACAUCUUUCUUCUUGGUUAUGCAAUGAUCCCUUUCUCUCUAACCUGGAAAUAGUCUGAAUUGGACGAAGUAGAAGUAUUCCAUAAAGUUUAGUACUAAAGUAAAGAUGAAAAUAAUUUGAAUAUAGUCAUAGAUCUUGAAUGGAUAAUUUGAAGAGAAUAACAAAAUUAUUAAAUGAUGCCCUGUAUUAAAAUAAACUGAUUAUACUCAUAAAUCUUAAGUGGAUGAUUUCAAUGGAAGCAAAAGUGUUUUAUGAAGCCUAAUAAAAAAAAUAACUUGAAAAUUGAUUGGUUAUAGUAAUAGUACUAUAUGAAGCAUAGUAUGUAAGGGUGGGCAAAUAAAUUGAUCCAAUCCAAUCUGACCCGAUCCAAAUUUUUUAGGUUCGAAUCCGAUACAGAUUGGGGGCCAAACUUGAUCGGAUUGGUUUUUUUAAAUCCGAUCAUAUUGUAUUCGGAACGGGUCAAUCCGAUAAUUUGAUCGGAUUGCAAAAAAAAAAAAAAAAACAAAGAAACAUAAAACCUAAUUUCCCAACACCCAUACACGCAGAAACACAAGCGUAGGCCGCCACCAGCCCACCACUGUCCAAAACUCCAAUUCCAAAAGACCAGCAUCACCGGCACUAGUCACCACCACCAAGCCGCAACUAUCCACCGUAAAAUCAAACCAGCAAAUUGUACCAUCACUGUCCACUAUACCAAGCCGUAAGCCUCUAUUCUGAUUGCACCAACCACCACUUAGCACAACAAUCUGUGGUCGCGCCAAGCUGCCAAGGCCACCAGGUGAUGCCAGUAAUAUUGAGUUCUGGAAGUUAGUCAAAUUUUUUGAGGUUGGGAUUGUUUUGUUGACAUGAGGGAUGCUGUGAAUUCGUUUGAUAUUGGCGAAAGUUAUGAGAAGUUGAAUAAUUGUGAUUUUUGUUAUUCUUUUAAUUUGUUGAAACGAUUGUUCGAUAUUCUGUGGAAUCAAAAUUUUGUAACCCCUAAAUUCAGUCUUUUUCGAAUUAAUGUGAAUUUAGACCAUUUCUUUAUUCUAAUAUUCUCAAGAAACAAUAGAAUAUAAAAUAUUAAACUUCCACUACAUUAAUUUGGUAUCAGAGUCGAAAACCUACUUGAAAUUAUUGUAGACACUCCACCAUCAACUUCCCCCAACUCUUAUCUCACCAAACCUAAACACUGCCACUUUGUUUUCCUUUUCUUUAAUUUUCUUUUUUUUUUGGUUUACUUUAGUGAAAAAAAAAGAAAAUAAUAUAUUCCCAAAUUAGAUAAGCUAACCACCACAAUUGCCUCUGUUCAUAACCACCUUGUAGCCAAUCUAGUAAAUUUGCUAUCAAUCAAGAUCACUAACCAGGUUAGAGAAAGCCAGUCACCAAAUCGCAAGCAAAAUCACCAUCGGUCACCACAAAAUUGCUGAAAAAUAACAAUAGAAGCCGCGAUGCUGCCAUUUGUUGAUUUCCAUUGUGCAUUGUCUAGCAUCACCACCAAGAUCAACUUUCCUUCACCAACAUAGUCUUUUUGACAAAUUUUCACUGCUAACGACACAUUGAUUACUGAAAUUAAGCCCAACACUUGCCAGUACUUGGUUUUAAUUUUGUGGUUAGAUCAUUGCAAAUUAGACCAAAAUGUUCCCACCACUGUGCUCCUCACUACAAUAGCAGCCAAAUCAGACCUUAAACAAUUAGAUUCAUAGUCAUGGGCUU